This 76-nucleotide transfer RNA is filed under the name Pandoraea terrigena. RNAcentral's name for it is "Pandoraea sp. LMG 31013 tRNA-Arg". The record is from RNAcentral. Lineage: Bacteria; Pseudomonadati; Pseudomonadota; Betaproteobacteria; Burkholderiales; Burkholderiaceae.
CUAUGGGCUGGCUGGUGGGAUGGGCGGCCGCCGGCUGCGAUCCGGCGCGCAUGGGUAUCGGUCCCGUGCCUGCGGU